This 164-nucleotide ribosomal RNA is filed under the name uncultured bacterium. RNAcentral's name for it is "partial 16S rRNA". It matches the Rfam family "Bacterial small subunit ribosomal RNA", at positions 355 to 511 of the family's 1533-position model. The record is from RNAcentral.
UAGGGAAUCUUCCACAAUGGACGCAAGUCUGAUGGAGCAACGCCGCGUGAGUGAAGAAGGUCUUCGGAUCGUAAAACUCUGUUGUUAGAGAAGAACACGAGUGAGAGUAACUGUUCAUUCGAUGACGGUAUCCAACCAGCAAGUCACGGCUAACUACGUGCCAG